RNAcentral lists this long non-coding RNA (858 nucleotides) under Pan troglodytes (chimpanzee). Its description in RNAcentral is "long non-coding RNA NONPTRT009018". The record is from RNAcentral. Lineage: Eukaryota; Metazoa; Chordata; Mammalia; Primates; Hominidae.
CAAGUUUGGCAUCUGUGAAAAAUUUUUAUUUCUUCUUUCUCGAGCUGCACAUAUUAUAUUUCCUUUACUUCUCUUAUUGCACUGGCUGAGAUAUUUAGUAUGGUGUUGAACAGAAGUGCUGAGAGGAGACAUCCUUUCCUUGUUCAUAAUCCUGUAGGGAAGGUUUCUAGUCUUCUACUAUCAAGUAUGGUGUUAGCUGUAGGGUUUUGUACAUACUCAUUGCCAUUCGAAGAAAUGUUCCUCUAUUCCUAGUUCUUAAUAGGAUUGUGUGUUGGAUUUUGUCAUAUGCUUUUUCUGCAUCAGCUGAUAUGAUCAUAUGAUUUUUCUUCUCUAGCUAUUGAAAUGUGGUGGAUUACAUCAAUUAGUUUUCAAAUGAUGAACAAGUAUUGCAUACCAGGAAUUAAUCCCACUUGGUGUGGUGUUUAAUCUUUUUUAUACAUUGUUGUAUUAAAUAUGCUAAUGGUUCAUUGAGGAUUUUUGCAUCUACAUUCAUGAGAGAUAUUGGUCAAUAGUUUUCCUUUAUUGCAGUGUCUUUAUCUGGUUUUGGUAUUAGUGUAUGCUGGCCUCAUAGAAUGAGUUAGUUAUUGAUUCCAUUUAUUUUUAGAUAUAUGCUAAUUGAAAUUAUCUAUUUCUCUUUGUGUGAUAUUUGGGUAUUGUGUCUUUCAAGGAAUUGGCCACUUUCAUGUCAGGUAUAAAAUUAGCAUAGAGUUGUUCAUAGCUUCUCUUUUUAAUCCAAUUAGUAUUGAUGGAAUCGGUAGUGAGCAUCCUUCUUUCAUUUGGAUAUUGGUAAUUUAUGUCUUCUCUCUUUUUUCUUAGUUAGCUUAGCCAAAACUUUAUCAAUUUUUCAAUUUUUCCAAA